AUGUAUGGGAGGCUAAAACCUGACAAGGGAGGUCACCGUCAUUCACCUUGCUGCUCCUAGGCCGGCCUUGAUGAUUCACAACUUUUAGCUGUGCCAGUGCCACCAAAGAUCUCCAACAUCUCCUCGGAUGUCACUGUGAAUGAGGGCAGCAACGUGACUCUGGUCUGCAUGGCCAAUGGCCGUCCUGAACCUGUUAUCACCUGGAGACACCUUACACCAACUGGAAGGGAAUUUGAAGGAGAAGAAGAAUAUCUGGAGAUCCUCGGCAUCACCAGGGAGCAGUCCGGCAAAUAUGAGUGCAAAGCUGCCAACGAGGUCUCCUCGGCGGAUGUCAAACAAGUCAAGGUCACUGUGAACUAUCCUCCCACUAUCACAGAAUCCAAGAGCAAUGAAGCCACCACAGGACGACAAGCUUCACUCAAAUGUGAGGCCUCGGCAGUGCCUGCACCUGACUUUGAGUGGUACCGGGAUGACACUAGGAUAAAUAGUGCCAAUGGCCUUGAGAUUAAGAGCACGGAGGGCCAGUCUUCCCUGACGGUGACCAACGUCACUGAGGAGCACUAUGGCAACUACACCUGCGUGGCUG
RNAcentral lists this small RNA (586 nucleotides) under Pongo abelii (Sumatran orangutan). Its description in RNAcentral is "processed transcript". Lineage: Eukaryota; Metazoa; Chordata; Mammalia; Primates; Hominidae. The record is from RNAcentral.